GAUGAACGCUGGCGGCGUGCCUAAUACAUGCAAGUCGAGCGAACAGAUGAGGAGCUUGCUCCUCUGACGUUAGCGGCGGACGGGUGAGUAACACGUGGAUAACCUACCUAUAAGACUGGGAUAACUUCGGGAAGCCGGAGCUAAUACCGGAUAAUAUAUUGAACCGCAUGGUUCAAUAGUGAAAGACGGUUUUGCUGUCACUUAUAGAUGGAUCCGCGCCGCAUUAGCUAGUUGGUAAGGUAACGGCUUACCAAGGCAACGAUGCGUAGCCGACCUGAGAGGGUGGUCGGCCACACUAGAACUGAGACACGGUCCAGGGGCCUACGGGAGGCAGCAGUAGGGAAUCGUCCGCAGUGGGCGAAAGCCUGACGGAGCAACGCCGCGUGAGUGAUGAAGGUCUUCGGAUCGUAAAACUCUGUUAUUAGGGAAGAACAAAUGUGUAAGUAACUAUGCACGUCUUGACGGUACCUAAUCAGAAAGCCACGGCUAACUACGUG
RNAcentral lists this ribosomal RNA (497 nucleotides) under uncultured bacterium. RNAcentral describes it as "partial 16S ribosomal RNA". It matches the Rfam family "Bacterial small subunit ribosomal RNA", at positions 28 to 507 of the family's 1533-position model. The record is from RNAcentral.